This 26-nucleotide non-coding RNA is filed under the name Homo sapiens (human). The record is from RNAcentral. Lineage: Eukaryota; Metazoa; Chordata; Mammalia; Primates; Hominidae.
UGCAGAAGGUUGCCCUUAGUGGAGAA